UUGAACUGUACAUCUAUUAUUUUAAUAGUUAUCCUAUCAUUUAUUUAUAGACAAACUACAUCAUUCACAUUUUUGAGGAAAAAAAGGACAGAAACAUUACACUACAAUGUAGUAAGUGCACAUUCUUCCUCUCAACAGUGCGUUGAAAUCCAGAUUUCUUGCAUUCCUCUAUUUACAUGCCUGGGAUGAGAGGCCAUCUGUUCAACUGUCAAUUUUUUUUUUUUUUUUUUAUUAGGUUCAUGAUCAACCUAAUAACGACUGCCUUCAAAUUCCAUUGUGUGACAUGACAGCCUACAGGGCUACAUGAGAGCUGGAUGCCUUAAUGCUCUUAAAUGACAGUGCUGAGAGUGGACUUGCACAAACAAGUUCAUGUGUUCCCCAGCAGGUAAUUGAAUUGGAUGAGAUAGACAAGAAUCAACUGGCAGUUAUCAACAGGUUGUUCCCGACUGAAGUUAUCUCACUCACUGUGUUCGGAGGGUGAAAGCCGCACUGGUGAUGGAGGUCUCAAACAGCUGGUCAUAAAUACUUCUUUCUAUAUAAAGCUCUCUGGGGGAGCAGGGAAUAUCAUCUACAUUCUUCCACGAGUGGAGUUAAACACAGGACUGUUUGUGUUGAGCUAUGAAAUAGAGGCAGCCAUUUUGAUGUGAAAAAAGAUACGGCCAUCUCAGAACACCGAGGGGCUUGCGACAGACGAUUCGUAUUUGACAGGUUAUGAUUGAUGAUGGCAAGGUUUGGGGGACACUGGGAAGGCCAGUGACCUCUGGUCUCAGGCCAGGCCUACAGGGGACAACAGUCCUGGCACGAAUUCACUCACAGCGGGGGAGAACCUUUCGUCUAUUGGUUUUUAAUGUGUUCCGGACACAUAGUGAAGCUGAGAAGAUUUCAGCCAGAGUUUUCAUUUUCUUACUAUCGUCAAACUGAUAUUUGAUCCUGUGACUGAACUGAUGUGGAACGUCAUUCUGGGAGAGAAAUGCUGAUUUGGAAACAUUUUGCAUUUCGACUAUACAAAAUGAACUACGUAUCAAUUAUUUUUGUGAAUAACGAAAGACGACAUUUUGAA
Onychostoma macrolepis is the source of this 1060-nucleotide long non-coding RNA. RefSeq lists it as uncharacterized. NCBI's taxonomy places the organism in Eukaryota, Metazoa, Chordata, Actinopteri, Cypriniformes, Cyprinidae. The transcript is spliced from 3 exons. The record is from RefSeq and is a predicted model, not a curated record.